GCCAGGUGUGGUGGCGGGCACCUGUAAUCCCAGCUACUUGGGAGGCUGAGGCAGGAGAAUUGCUUGAGCCCAGGAGGCGGAGGUUGCAGUGAGCCAAGGCAGAGGUUACCAUGAGCCAAGAUCAUGCCACUGCACUCCAGCCUGGGCGACAGAGCAAGAAUCUGUCUCAA
This 170-nucleotide signal recognition particle RNA is filed under the name Nomascus leucogenys (northern white-cheeked gibbon). RNAcentral's name for it is "Metazoan signal recognition particle RNA". It matches the Rfam family "Metazoan signal recognition particle RNA". Rfam says of the family: The signal recognition particle (SRP) is a universally conserved ribonucleoprotein. It is involved in the co-translational targeting of proteins to membranes. The record is from Rfam by way of RNAcentral. Lineage: Eukaryota; Metazoa; Chordata; Mammalia; Primates; Hylobatidae.